RNAcentral lists this ribosomal RNA (253 nucleotides) under uncultured bacterium. RNAcentral describes it as "partial 16S ribosomal RNA". It matches the Rfam family "Bacterial small subunit ribosomal RNA", at positions 524 to 776 of the family's 1533-position model. The record is from RNAcentral.
UACAGAGGUGUCAAACGUUGUCCGGAAUUACUGGGCGUAAAGCGCGCGUAGGCGGCUUUUCAAGUCGAUUGUGAAAUCCCCGGGCUUAACCUGGGAACUGCAGUCGAGACUGUCUAGCUAGAGUAUGGGAGAGGGAAGUGGAAUUUCAGGUGUAGCGGUGAAAUGCGUAGAUAUCUGAAGGAACAUCAGUGGCGAAAGCGACUUCCUGGACCAAUACUGACGCUCAUGUGCGAAAGCGUGGGGAGCAAACAGG